GAUGAACGCUGGCUACAGGCUUAACACAUGCAAGUCGUGGGGAAACGGCAUUAUGUGCUUGCACAUUCUGGACGUCGACCGGCGCACGGGUGAGUAUCGCGUAUCCAACCUGCCCCUUACUUGGGGAUACCCCGUCGAAAGACGGCCUAAUACCCGAUGUGUUUCAUUGACGGCAUCCGAUAUGAAACAAAGGUUUUCCGGUAAGGGAUGGGGAUGCGUCUGAUUAGCUUGUUGGCGGGGCAACGGCCCACCAAGGCGACGAUCAGUAGGGGUUCUGAGAGAAAGGUCCCCCACAUUGGAACUGAGACACGGUCCAAACUCCUACGGGAGGCAGCAGUGAGGAAUAUUGGUCAAUGGACGCAAGUCUGAACCAGCCAAGUAGCGUGCAGGAUGACGGCCCUAUGGGUUGUAAACUGCUUUUAUGUGGGAAUAAAGUGGCGCACGUGUGGCGCCGUUGCAUGUACCUCAUGAAUAAGGACCGCUAUUCC
This 488-nucleotide ribosomal RNA is filed under the name Prevotella nigrescens. Its description in RNAcentral is "bacterial SSU rRNA". It matches the Rfam family "Bacterial small subunit ribosomal RNA", at positions 28 to 503 of the family's 1533-position model. Lineage: Bacteria; Pseudomonadati; Bacteroidota; Bacteroidia; Bacteroidales; Prevotellaceae. The record is from RNAcentral.